Long non-coding RNA from Bombus pyrosoma, 8305 nucleotides. RefSeq lists it as uncharacterized. The transcript is spliced from 3 exons. NCBI's taxonomy places the organism in Eukaryota, Metazoa, Arthropoda, Insecta, Hymenoptera, Apidae. The record is from RefSeq and is a predicted model, not a curated record.
AAGAUAUUCGUCGAGGCUUCCAUUCUUUGUUUCUAGCGCAUGAUUUCCUUUCUUGGCUAGCCUGAUCGCUUUUAGACGAGACCAAUAGCCUUUGUUACUUUUAACAAUACAAUGACCCGAAACAAAGCCAGGCUCUCGUAUCCAGAAUCACAGAAGGCGAUAAUCGAACGGUGUAAUAAAACUUCAUGUGGAAGGGAUUAUGUCGAUUGCACACGAGUUGCUUCUUUAAUCAAGCUACAAGCCUGCUUUCGUAAUUACAGAGAAUUCGCGAGUGGAGAUGCGAUUCAUCUGGUAUUUCUAAUUUCGAGAAGUGUUGCAAACGCGGCUACCUUCAUCAAGAAUGCUUAAUAACUUUCACCUUCGUGACAACGAUUUACACGUGAGAUACUGCUGCGUCGCAUGUAAACGGUCGCUUAAUUACGAAGAUGAAUGGGCGCGACAAAGAAUUAUGCGGGUAAUCCAUAACACCGACGCGAUCAAGUCGAAGGACUGGCGAAUUUAGAUGACCAAGUAGUAUUGUGUUAUGGAAGAAGGAAGUCAGGGACGAAAGGAGAUCUAAAAAUAUACAUUGAAAAACAGAAAAAGAAAAACGACUUUGCUCCCUUUUCGUUUAUCUCUGUGAUUGAUUUAUUGCUCUCUUUCACACAUUGUCAGGAACGCAUUGUCUAGUCAUUAACGACUCACAAAUAUCAUUUAGGACAUGAAUAAAAAAUUAAUCACGGCGCCAUCCAGUCAAACAGUCAUCGCGAUCGAUCAACGAGCCUUAACCCUUUCAUAACGUAAGAGGAGAGAGAAAACUGUCAACUAUAAUACCAAGAAUUAUUAUAAUUGUGGAACUUCGGUAAUAUUGAAAAUAAAAAUUUCCGACGCAAUUGUAUUCGAAAUCAUUCAUUGUAAACUGCCGUCAUUUUAUUACACGGUGAAAGGAUCAACGUAACCCGACUAUUCUAAACGCUUCGCUUGGCAAUAUUUACAACGUUAUACAAUUCUGCCGAGCAAGUUUUGGAUCAGUGUCACCGCAGUUGCAAUCUCGGAUGAUGCCGUACGCGUUUCCAUGUAUUUCAACCAGCUACAUUUCGAACCACGUUCUUCGAAAUUUCACAUCCGCGCUGGAAAUAUCUACAAUGUUAUACAAUCUUGUUUACCGAUCAGCAUUUUGAUCAAUGUCACACGUAUUCGGAUAUCGUUAGCGCACGUUACGCAACUCGAUGUUUUUGAACGAUGAAUCGGUUGUCUGUUUUCAUGGACGCGACGUUGAUUCAGCAAACCGUAACUAUUCGAAAUUAUAUAAAAAUUGAAAAAUGUAAAAAGUCAGCCGUGGAAUUUGUACGUGUUAGCGAACUCGUGAAAAAUCCUAAGCUAAAAGUUAAAUAAUUAUACGCUUAUAAAAAAAAAAAAAAAUUCGCCGACUUUAUUCCGUUCGUACGCUGCUCGGUUUUUAAAAAGUUUCUGAAACUCAUUAGCGAGGCGGUGCGUGCAUUAUUUUUCAUGAAAUUAAAACGCCUCUGAACGAUUUACCAACACUUCGUAAUUUCACAGCUACCAAAUCAACGUAUCGAUUUUCCAGUUGCGCAAUUAAUUUUUCCGCGAAUUACGCAAAUUACGUUACGCGUUCUGUCUUUUCUCGCCAACAAAUACAAAUACAAUUCGUCGAAAUCAUGACACCCCGUAUUGUUCCGAUUAAUCGAGAUUGAGGAAAUUUAUACGACUUUAUUUACGUUCUAACUGUUCUCAACCGACUUUAUUUUUGUUUACUCUCUCGUCGAAAAGCGUUAAACGACGCGGCUUUCGGUAGAAACAUUGGCUCGAGUUUGUCCUCACGUUCUCGAUAUAAUUUUUAAGGGGGAAGGUAAAAAUGUAACGGAUAUAGUAUUGACCACGGUUACUCGUUUAAAAACGGGCAAAUGGAUGUUUCGUGUAUAUUGGUAGGCCUCUAUAGGCACGGCCACCGACGUUGUACUUUUCAGAGGCAAAGGGCAAGUCAUUAUGAAUCAGAAAAUGUUGUCUGCUCGUGUUAACUAUUCCUAUAAUCACGAAGAUUUCGACCCUAUACAGAACGUUAUUUGUCGCUCGAAAUCCGAUAGAAACCUUUCGGAUUCGGUUCAGCUUGCCUCCCGUUUAAUACGAUCCGAUACCGGCCUAACGAGAUUUAAGCUGCGUAUGGACGAUAAAAGCUCGACAAGUUCUCUCUAAGAAGAGGAUCGAAAGCGAACCGCGGUUUCGACGCGUAAGCUUCUUCGCUGUAACGAAUUCAACAUUGGCCUCAAUCACUCGGACCGUUCACCAGCUGAUCGUUCAUUAACUCGGCGAUCGCAGAUCGGAGGAUUAGAAAGUGGCCAAGAACAACCGCUUGCAUCCCCACGAAUGCUCCUCCGCAAAAAGAGACUCGCCUGCAACUCCACGGAGAACGUCGAUCAACUCGAUUCUCGUUAAUAAGGGUUUCUUCUCUCGAGAUUUUCUGAAGCGAAUAUCUUUGUUCGUUCUUUUGCUAUUUUAGGAAACUUUUACAGCCAGAGUUGGAACGAAGUUUACAAGGUCCUGGAUGGACGGCCGGAACUUGGAUGGCGGAGCUUUCCAGUCUGAAAAGCUUAAAGGCGACAACUUUCUUCUUGAAGGAAGCCGGCGUUUUAAAUUCUGCAGGAGAGAGCGCUGGCACGAUCGAAUUUCACGAGCUGCACAUUUUACGCGUAGAUUUUUGACUGCUUAAGGGCAGCAUUCGCUUUCUCUCAACCCAGUCGCGAACUUUUUUACUCUGGAGAAGUCGCGUUGUUGGUUGGAUCGCGCGCGUUCGUCCGGUCUCUUUAUUGUCACGCCGUGCCGACAAAAGUUGUUCCGGGGUAACGACCAGCCGACUGAUUCAACUAACGUUUUCUAAGCAACCGGUCGAACAAGCGGUUCCUUUCUUGCAGCCGCCUCCUUUCUCCUCUUGCUCUUUUCUCUCACUCCGACUACUUUUUUUCCACCGCUCCUUCGGGAUCUCGUUGCUCCUCUUGACAAAGACGAAUGGCACCGGUGAAUCCUCUCGCGAACGAAUUAGUCAGUCGUCGAGUUCCGGCGACCUCCGGGAAGACAGGACCAAUUCGUAGAGUUUGACCCGAUCGGAGCACGGAAUAGGUUUCGAUAGAAUGUGCAAAUCGUCGUUCACGAUUCGUCGUUCGCUCGAUCAAAUAUUAAUCUUGACUGAGAGAACUCGAGUCAGAGAACAAGCACGACUUUCUAGAUCAGAGAAUAUCUCGAAAUUUGGUGCAAAGACAAAACUACUUUGAUGGUAGUUCGAUUUAAGAUUACUUGGAUGCUCGGUAUUAUUUUUCAAAGUCGAAACGUCAACGCGAGAAUCGUCGAUCUUUCAGAAUCCUUUUUAAACAUUCCUCGGGUUUAACACUCAGAUGUCGAAGAGGAUCAACAACCCUUCGCUGCAGGAUUCGACGAUCGUGGAAGUACGGUGUAUGAUUUCAGCCAAGCUAUCAGCUGGACUUGCUUCCCGCGGGAGCUCGAUAACCUUUGGAAAAGUUCCCAACUACGGCAACUUUGAAAGCCGAUUGAAAAUUUCGUUCAACGUUCCCUUGAUACUUCACGCUCUUUAUAAACCGUUUCCAACAUUAAAAACUUCGAUCUCAAUUAAACUCUCUUAAACCAGAGAUUUCGCGUCGGUUGUUUUAACGGCUGGACCAUUCCAUCGUUUAAACGCUGCCCUUUUCUACCUAAUUUCGCUGAUCGAGCUUUCCCAUCAACGACGACACUUUACAGCUCUCACCGAUUCGUUUUGAAUGGACGACUUGGUCGAUGAACUCGUUGGCUCGAUUCUGGAUGCGAUCAAGGAUCGACGAAAUCGUUUCAGGUCGGUCGUGCUCCUCUCGGUACAAUCAUAAAUCAGAAUAACGUGGGAUGAAGCAAUAAUUCGCGGGAACGAAACUCACGGUGUUACUCGCACGAGAUGUACGUGUGACAAGACUCAAAGUCUCGAGCUUUGUGUCGGAUGUAUGUUCCACGAGCGUCGCGACGCCCCAACUGGAAGCUGGCCACUUCUGUGCUUGGGUUUAUAUUUAAACAGCGAAGAGUAGCCGACGAAUACAACGACGACGCAUCGUCUUCCUUAGGAGAGAACGAGAAAGACCGACUAAAAGCAAGGGUAUAGUGUCGUAGAGGGAGAAAUACCAGACGGGAGAAAAAAGACGAUUUUGCAGUGCCCGAAACCGAAAAUAUUCCGAGAGAAAUGCGCAAGCAUGACUGAUUUAUUUGGUGUUAUUUAAAGAAGAAAUAUCAGAUUGUCAAGAAUACGCGAUUUAAUCGAGGACGACGAUGAAAUUCGUAUUCCGAUAAUCUGUUUCGAUCGAUUUAGGUCGCGAAAAAUUCUUAGCGUCUUUUUUUCAGCAAAAUCGAAUGCGUUGGUUUACGGUAAAGGGCAUUGGCUGCAAGCUUUCUGAAGGCACAUGGUGCUGGUCUACGGCGGAGAUGUUGGGAAAUCCAUGCUAUAAAAGAUCCACAAACAUCGCGGAUGAAUCGCGGACCUCCCACGCAGUGCGUCGAGUCUGAACUUUCUCAAGCGCGCCAGUCCACAGCUUGCAUAUGCCGAGACGUUUACGAAUCUGCAUCCCGCGAAAAGAUUUAAGAAAGAGCUGUAUUAACGCGACUUCGUAUUUCAAGAUUUAUGGAAAACACAGUGUGGCUCGCGUCUCUUGACCUCGCUCCAAAAUUAUUUCUCUAAUAAGAAUUUCCAACGUUCUCAAAUCCUUGAUGCGGAUCAAUCAGCGGUGUUUCGAAAAUAUUAAACCUCUAAAAAUAUAGAAACACAGGAAGAUGUGAGAAGAAGUUACACAUUUCUCCAAGACGAAUUCCCAGUAUAGUGGAAUUUUGACUCGAGGCAAUCCGCGCGUGUUAAAAAGAUACAGACGCCAGAAAACACGGAAAGAAAUAAUUUUUCUAAGAAGAGUUUCCAACAUCCUCAAACUGACCGAGGUUCGAUCAAACUUCUAUCUGUCAAGACACAUCAGAAGACGAGGAAAGAAGGAAGAAGAAAUGGAAGUGAGAAAUUAUCUCACGUAUGCCUCUAAUAUCGAGAUCGGGAACAAAGCAAGAGAGAAAAACCUUCGGGUUCAGGCUCGCAUUCCAGUGCGUCGUUCCAAUUCUGUUCCCCUACGGUCAUCUAGCUUGCUCGAGUAUGGCCACUAGCCACCCACCUAUCCAGAAAACGGAUAAAAAGACGAGAGGGAGUGUUCGGUGGAGAAAAAAAAGACAUAGAAGAAGAAGGGACAAGGUAGAGGUAGGGGCGGGAUGAAAGAGCAGAGAGGCGAGAAAGGAGGAUAUCGCGACGAUACCAGGAGCGUAAGGUCUCAGGGUACGCCCAAAGGGUCAUCACCCUGGCAUGGCACGAUGCUUUCGUUUCUGGCCGCGCCACCCUUCUCGGGCUCUACGAGUCUCGUGCUCUUUACCACACCCCCGUGACGUGCACUUUUGCUCCUUGGCGCGUCUCCAGGGACGAAGAAAUAUGGCCUGGUCUGCGAGAAAAUGGCGUAAUUAUAUACGAGGGCGGGAAAAAGGAGGGUGUAAAUCAAAACGGAGCCCCCUCUCUCUCUCUCUCUCUCUUUCUCUCUCUCUUUCUCUAGAGCUGUUCGAGGUACUGUGCUCGGGAAGAAGCGGGCAAACCGAAACGUGGAAGGAGAGGAGCACGAACUUGUUAUCUACCGGCGCGAGCUUCGACAUUCCCUUCGACCCGCGAACGCUAUCAUCUAUCGGUACUCCGGGGAAUCGUUGGCGCGCAACUGCGAUAACAUUUCCACCGAUCGAGCCGACGCGUGCCUCUCAUUUUGUUUCCGAGAGCACGAAAGCCAUUUUCAGAGCUUACAGCCUAGAGUUUAACGAUAUUAGAUCCGUGAAGCUUCGGAAAAGCCACGGGUCUGUAUUGAGAUUCAACCCAUUAAGAACCAUCAUAAAAGGCAAUUCCAUUUUUUUUCUGGUCAUCUCUUUUGAUGGCUAUCUCUUUUGAUUCCAAGUUACUUUUUUUUUUUAAUGACGAAAAAGCGGUUCUAUCUCGCUGGUCAGUUAGAAAUUUCGCGUUAAUCCAGCGGUAUAUGGUGGAAGCCUCGCAAUAGGAUGGAAAAGUGCGGUGAACGAACCGCAUCGUAAUUAGCGAAUGGAAUUCUUAAUUAUUCUAACGAGUGCAAUGACGUCACGUGCUGGAGGAUCCUAAGUACCCGACCAUAUUACCGCAACACCGACGUAACUUCUUUCCUGCUCUAUGCGACGUUUUCUCUUUUUUUCCCUUCCAGUCGUAGGCAGCCUUUUGAAAUACUCGAGGCCCCUUUACGCGAAUUUCUCCUGGUCGAGCCACCGCGUCUCGUACGCUCAGCCGAACGCGGUGUAACAACGCCAGAAUCACGCGAUGCCUAACUCCAGCAGUUGAAGAAACUAUCGUCGUUUUAAAUCGUGGAGAGCCGCCUCGACGAUUGUCACCUCGACGAAGAAACAAGUUGGGAGAUCGUGUCGAAAAUAAGCAGGUCAUAACGAGCAAUACUUCCAAACGCGAUUCUAUGCAAAUAGAAUCAACAGCCACGAAGAAACGGCACUGUUUCGCGUUGCAGUCGGUGGUCGACAACGGGCACAGCAACCGGAGCAAUGCCUGCAUCCAUAGAAAAUGAGAUACCUUUCAGCAACAUCGAAAAUAUAGGUCAUGGAACGAAACGGAGAGGAAGCUUGGUAAAUAGAAUGAGAGUGUGCGCGCAGGUGUCGACAGAAGAAGAAAGAGAGUCAGUCGCGAGACACGGUUUUCGUUUAGCAACGCUAGGAACAAGCACAUCGUGCUUCAAUACAUCUCGCUGAGAUUGUUGCGCCGAUUCUAAUAAUUUCCAAUAGUGUACGCUGGUAACCAUACGUUGGAAUAUUUUCCGCCAAAUGAUACCGUUUCCAGCGGUAUUUGAGCAAGCGAAAGGAAAAACAAACGAGCAACAGCCACCCUUGACGACUGUUUAGAUGGCGGAGAUUCACUGUGAAACGCCUGUGCCUCGUGCAACACACCGGGAAGGUUAAUACAGAGAUCUUUUCUGAAACGAAAUAUCGAUUGACGACGAACCGCUGGAGAAUCGUGCUACUCCUGCACAGCUGUAACGGAGAACCCGCAAGAAAAGAGACGAGACCUGAAGAGAAGAGAAGAGAAGAGAAGAGAAGAAAAGGAGAGAAAAAGGGCGGAGAAAGAGGAAACGAGGGUGCCGCACGAACGUCCUUGCUCAUAUACCACCGGCAGAACCACCCUCCUGUUGCCAACCGGGCAUCGAUCCAACGACCACGUUCCUCUGGUCUACCAAGAAAGCAUCCCUUGGCGUACUACCCGUUUCCUUCCGCCCGCAAACUUCCUUUCCUCCAAGAUCUAUCGAGCUGUAUUACUUUUAGACACGUUACCGGUCGUGUGAAAAUUAUUCUGAAAAUUUCAUUCCAAUAUCGACGUGCAGCUACGAAUAAACGACCUCAACGUUGGACACUUUCCAAAGUUUUUAAAGAGUUUGACGCAAGCGUGUCGCUAAUGCGAACAUGUGGAAUCUAUCUUUACUCGUUGAGUUUAUUUUUACAAAAUAUUCUAUCGAUUAAGAAUGAUGUAUAAAUAACAAAUAAAGGGAAGAAGAACGUCUUUAGUAGCUGGUACACAUACCAACAAAGAAUUCGGAAGCUUACAAUGUGGCAAUAUUAUCAUGAUAGCAUUGAUAAGGUUUGAAAUAAACGCAAAAAUGUAUCUAGAAGUUACAUAAUAUUUAUCGCAAACAUGCACUUUGCACGCAUCGCAAGAUUAUUUAAACGGUAAAAUAUUCAUUAUAUCAAUGGACGUUAGUUCUUAAUGGGAUUGCUUUUAGCAUUGGUUGUAUACUUAAGCCAACUGCCUACGAUAUAUUAAUUUUUUACGUAAUACAUAUUCAUAAAAAUUUUCCAUGAUAAUAUAGUAUAUGCAUUCGUAAAUACGUAAGAUAGAGCGCGUCGAAAAGGUGAAAGGGAACUGUACUCGUAUAUUCCUAACGCGGUAAAAAGACAAUGCUUGAUGUACACAAAGACUAUCGAAUACGUGAGUCAUACUUCUUAAACGAUAUACAUAAUAAGAGUGAAAUAACGCUCCGUGACAUUAUCGAGAAACGAAACAUCUGUCGAGGAACAUCGCGAUGCACCAAUGAAUCAGCCAUAAGGAAUAGAAAUAGUAGAAAUCUCUUUGUUACCUUGCUUUUUAUAUUCCAUCUCAUUGUUAUCGUAAUUCAAACGGAUGGAAAGAAUAUCGUCUAUAUUAAAGCGAUGUUUAAACUUUUUACGAUUAUAUGGAGAUCCUACAAUA